RNAcentral lists this ribosomal RNA (486 nucleotides) under uncultured bacterium. RNAcentral describes it as "partial 16S ribosomal RNA". It matches the Rfam family "Bacterial small subunit ribosomal RNA", at positions 28 to 507 of the family's 1533-position model. The record is from RNAcentral.
GAUGAACGCUGGCGGCGUGCCUAAUACAUGCAAGUCGAACGCUGGAGAUCUAGCUUGCUAGAUCGAAGGAGUGGCGAACGGGUGAGUAAUACAUAAGCAACCUACCCACGAAGACUGGGAUAAUCUCUGGAAACGGGGACUAAUACCGGAUAGGUAAUCGGAAGGCAUCUUCUGGUUAUUAAAGGUUAAAAACACUGGUGGAUGGGCUUAUGGCGCAUUAGUUAGUUGGUGAGGUAACGGCCCACCAAGACGAUGAUGCGUAGCCGGCCUGAGAGGGUGAACGGCCACAUUGGGACUGAGACACGGCCCAGACUCCUACGGGAGGCAGCAGUAGGGAAUUUUCGGCAAUGGGGGCAACCCUGACCAAGCAACGCCGCGUGAGUGAAGACGGCCUUCGGGUUGUAAAGCUCUGUUGUAAGGGAAGAACGGUAGAUAGAGAAUAUCUAAGUGACGGUACCUUACCAGAAAGCCACGGCUAACUACGUG